This 468-nucleotide ribosomal RNA is filed under the name uncultured bacterium. RNAcentral's name for it is "partial 16S ribosomal RNA". It matches the Rfam family "Bacterial small subunit ribosomal RNA", at positions 28 to 507 of the family's 1533-position model. The record is from RNAcentral.
GACGAACGCUGGCGGCGUGCUUAACACAUGCAAGUCGAACGGAAAGGCCCUGCUUUUGUGGGGUGCUCGAGUGGCGAACGGGUGAGUAACACGUGAGUAACCUGCCCUUGACUUUGGGAUAACUUCAGGAAACUGGGGCUAAUACCGGAUAGGAGCUCCUGCUGCAUGGUGGUGGUUGGAAAGUUUCGGCGGUUGGGGAUGGACUCGCGGCUUAUCAGCUUGUUGGUGGGGUAGGGGCUUACCAAGGCUUUGACGGGUAGCCGGCCUGAGAGGGUGACCGGCCACAUUGGGACUGAGAUACGGACCAGACUCCUACGGGCGGCAGCAGUGGGGAAUAUUGCAGAAUGGGCGGAAGCCUGAUGCAGCAACGCUGCGUGCGGGAUGACGGCCUUCGGGUUGUAAACAGCUUUCGCCUGUGACGAAGCGUGAGUGACGGUAAUGGGUAAAGAAGCACCGGCUAACUACGUG